This 465-nucleotide ribosomal RNA is filed under the name Vreelandella stevensii. RNAcentral describes it as "partial 16S ribosomal RNA". It matches the Rfam family "Bacterial small subunit ribosomal RNA", at positions 338 to 795 of the family's 1533-position model. Lineage: Bacteria; Pseudomonadati; Pseudomonadota; Gammaproteobacteria; Oceanospirillales; Halomonadaceae. The record is from RNAcentral.
CCUACGGGUGGCAGCAGUGGGGAAUAUUGGACAAUGGGCGAAAGCCUGAUCCAGCCAUGCCGCGUGUGUGAAGAAGGCCUUCGGGUUGUAAAGCACUUUCAGUGGGGAAGAAAGCCUUGGGGCUAAUACCCUCGAGGAAGGACAUCACCCACAGAAGAAGCACCGGCUAACUCCGUGCCAGCAGCCGCGGUAAUACGGAGGGUGCGAGCGUUAAUCGGAAUUACUGGGCGUAAAGCGCGCGUAGGCGGUCUGAUAAGCCGGUUGUGAAAGCCCCGGGCUCAACCUGGGAACGGCAUCCGGAACUGUCAGGCUAGGGUGCAGGAGAGGAAGGUAGAAUUCCCGGUGUAGCGGUGAAAUGCGUAGAGAUCGGGAGGAAUACCAGUGGCGAAGGCGGCCUUCUGGACUGACACUGACGCUGAGGUGCGAAAGCGUGGGUAGCAAACAGGAUUAGAUACCCCAGUAGUC